This 535-nucleotide ribosomal RNA is filed under the name uncultured bacterium. Its description in RNAcentral is "bacterial SSU rRNA". It matches the Rfam family "Bacterial small subunit ribosomal RNA", at positions 40 to 507 of the family's 1533-position model. The record is from RNAcentral.
CGGGCGUGGAUUAGGCAUGCAAGUCGAACGGUAUAAACCUUUCGGGGUUUAGAGAGUGGCGAACGGGUGAGUAACACGUAGGUAAUCUAACCCUCAAAAACGGGGACAACCCAGGGAAACUUGGGCUAAUACCGGAUGCGUGCAAACAAUGUUUGGCUGUUGUAAUUAUUCACGGAAGUGGAUAGUUAUGAGAGUUUCAGAGCAUAAUUUGCAUAAAAGGGUGGCGUAAGCUGCCGUUUGAGGAUGAGCCUGCGUCCUAUUAGUUAGUUGGUGAGGUAAUGGCUUACCAAGGCGAUGAUAGGUAGGCGGCCUUAACGGGUGGUCGCCCACACUGGGAUUGAGAUACGGCCCAGACUCCUACGGGAGGCAGCAGUCGAGAAUAGUCUACAAUGGACGAAAGUCUGAUAGUGCGACGCCGCGUGAACGAAGAAUCCUUUCGGGGUGUAAAGUUCUUUUCUAUGUGAGCAGUUCCUUUUAUAUGAAGAGUAUAGAAGGUGGGAUUUAAGCAUAGGAAUAAGCAACGGCUAACUCCGUG